UGGGGAAUAUUGGACAAUGGGCGAAAGCCUGAUCCAGCCAUGCCGCGUGUGUGAAGAAGGUCUUCGGAUUGUAAAGCACUUUAAGUUGGGAGGAAGGGCAGUAAAUUAAUACUUUGCUGUUUUGACGUUACCGACAGAAUAAGCACCGGCUAACUCUGUGCCAGCAGCCGCGGUAAUACAGAGGGUGCAAGCGUUAAUCGGAAUUACUGGGCGUAAAGCGCGCGUAGGUGGUUUGUUAAGUUGGAUGUGAAAUCCCCGGGCUCAACCUGGGAACUGCAUCCAAAACUGGCAAGCUAGAGUAUGGUAGAGGGUGGUGGAAUUUCCUGUGUAGCGGUGAAAUGCGUAGAUAUAGGAAGGAACACCAGUGGCGAAGGCGACCACCUGGACUGAUACUGACACUGAGGUGCGAAAGCGUGGGGAGCAAACAGGAUUAGAUACCCGCGUAGUCCCUGAGCGGGCUGGCAAGGCGCAU
This 472-nucleotide ribosomal RNA is filed under the name uncultured bacterium. Its description in RNAcentral is "bacterial SSU rRNA". It matches the Rfam family "Bacterial small subunit ribosomal RNA", at positions 355 to 825 of the family's 1533-position model. The record is from RNAcentral.